GUCGACUCCUGCUACAGCGGGGUCGGCCCUCUCAGGAAUCACAGAACCUUGUAUUUCAGCUGUUUUUCACUAGGGUCGACUCAAGCUACAGUGGGGUCGACUCAAGCUACAGUGGGGUCGACUCAAGUUCUAUUGGGGUCGACCCUCUCAGGGAUUCUAGAGAGUUUUGAACGACAUAGCCUUGGGGCCGACUCAUGUUCAUUUGGGGUCGACUUAAGCAUUCUUGGGGUCGGCUCAAGAAAAGUUGGGGUCGGCCCUCUCAGUAAAUUCUAGAGACUUGUUUUCUUAAGGCUUGAAGCUGGGGUCGACUCAAGGUUCUUUGGGGUCGACUUCGCUCCUGGGGUCGGCUCAAGCAUACUUGGGGUUGACUCCACUACUGUUCAUCCGUGCCAUUUUUGCAGAGGUGUGCCUGAUGGUUCAUGAUGUGCCAGGGUCGACUCCACCUAUGUUGGGGUCGACUCAUUCCACACUUUGCUGUAUCUUAAGGUUAGACUUAUCCAUACAAUUAAUGAAAUAUAUUUCAAGCAAUUUUGAAUGUAUGCCAUGGUAGUGCUACAUACUCUUAACAAUUAAAAUUACUAUUUUGCCCUUAAGAGUACAUUUCACUUGAAACUUUGCUGAAUUAGAAUUUAGAAUUCUCUAUCCCUUUUUUAUUGCAAAUUUUAUCUCAUUAUUAAUCAUUGAAAGAAAUCUUGAUCUCAUUCUUCUAAUGUAUCGAGAGAGUCGAACUCAGUAGUGAUGUAUCACGUUAACUUGUAGUACUAAUUAGAUAUUUCCUCAAUGGUUGUGUUAAUCAUCAAAAUAACACUAUCAUCCUCAAUCUCCUACUUUUUGAUGAUUACAAAAUAUUAAGUAUGAGUAGAUUGAUACUUAUAAAAUUAGAAGAUUUGUUUUAGAAGAGCUCAGGUUGCUGAAUUUCAGCUUUUCAAUUUUGAAAGUGAAGACUCUUCCUUUUUCAUCCAAAUAUUGCCAAUUAGAACUUUUGAUUUUCUCCCCUUUUUUUUUAUAUUUGGUUAAGGAUGAAACUUCAAAAAUUUGAGAUAAAGCAAGAGUUUCAGGUUAUGUAUCGAGGCAUGAGAGGUAUGUGCCAAAUUCAGAAAUUUUGAUUAAAAAUUUAGACUUUCUUGUUUUUUUUUUUAAAUUUUCAUUGUCACAUAUUGCUCCCCCUUAAGUGAAUAUUAUCUCUUACUAUAAUUUUAAAACUUAUUUGUCCCUUUAUAUUGCAAUUUCUUUCUUUUCUUACUUCUCCCUCUUUUUGAUAUCAUCAAACCAGUGUACAGCAAUAGAUGAGUAGAAGCAGUAAAAGAUAAAAAUUCAAACUUCAUUGAUCAAAAUGGAAUAUUGUAGUACAUUAAUGCCAAAAGUACAAUGUUCUUCAAUUAAGGUGCAAAAUACAUCAACCAAGUAAAAUGCAUAUAACCAUAAUGACCAAAUCUCGCUCAGAUAUGUGAUCAAAUCUCCCACUUUUCGGCAACAAAAUCCGACCUAUGAAGUUGUGCAACAACCUCAUCUUAGCUGAUAGAGAGCUAGCUAUCAUAUUUUCGGAGUAGUCAAAAUCAUUUCUCUCAAAGAUCAACUGUAGAGCUCUCAACUUGCUUUCCGGUCUUUCUGGAGUUGCACCUUCGCAGGGAAGAUGAAGCAACUUACUCAAACUUUCUUUUGAAAUCCUAACCCAUACUUCUCGGAUCUCAGACACAA
Molecule: long non-coding RNA, 1698 nt
Filed under: Phoenix dactylifera (date palm)
Lineage: Eukaryota; Viridiplantae; Streptophyta; Magnoliopsida; Arecales; Arecaceae
Description: long non-coding RNA (PDAC_LNC013192)
Source: RNAcentral